RNAcentral lists this ribosomal RNA (269 nucleotides) under uncultured bacterium. Its description in RNAcentral is "partial 16S ribosomal RNA". It matches the Rfam family "Bacterial small subunit ribosomal RNA", at positions 85 to 354 of the family's 1533-position model. The record is from RNAcentral.
CGUCCGGCGACCGGCGCACGGGUGAGUAACACGUAUGCAACCUGCCCUCUUCAGGGGGACGAACCUUCCGAAAGGGAGGCUAAUCCCGCGUAUAUCGGUUUCGGGCAUCCGAGAUCGAGGAAAGAUUCAUCGGAAGAGGAUGGGCAUGCGGCGCAUUAGCUAGACGGCGGGGUAACGGCCCACCGUGGCGACGAUGCGUAGGGGUUCUGAGAGGAAGGUCCCCCACACUGGUACUGAGACACGGACCAGACUCCUACGGAAGGCAGCAG